GCAAGACAUGAAGCGCGAAUGGAGGAUGCCUCGGCACGACCAGCCGACGAAGGACGCAGACCAGCAGCGAAACGAUGGGGGAGCCGCAGUCAGGCUUUGAGCCCAUCAUCUCCGAAUGGGGCAACCCACCAUCUGGUGACAGGUGGUAUCCCGAGAGGGAAGGUAAGUGGGGGAACUGAAACAUCUCAGUACCCUGAGGAAGCGAAACAAGUCCCGGAGUAGUGGCGAGCGAAACGGGAGAUGCCUAAACCCAUGCCGUGUCAAGCCUGCAGGCGUUGCGGGGUGGGGGUUGCGAGCCGAUAGCGUGGAGCUGCAGUGUCCACACUCGGUGGAGCGUGUGUAUGUGCGAAGCGGCUGGAACGCCGCACCAGAGCGGGUGAGAGUCCCGUAGCACCAGCGCCGCUCACGAGCUAUCCAAGCUCAAGUACCACGGGACACGAGUAAUCCUGUGGGAAGCCGGGCCGCCCACGGCCCAAGGCUGCAUACUGGUCGUGACCGAUAGUGCACAGUACCGUGAGGGAACGGUGAAAAGUACCCCGGCGAGGGGAGUGAAAUAGUGCCUGAAACCGUUCGCGUCCAUGCAGUGAGAGCCGUAGGCACACUUCGGUGUGCACGGUGAUCGCGUGCCUUUUGGAGAAUGACCCGACGAGUUACCCGCAGUGGCGUGGCUAAGGCAGUUGACAGCCGGAGCCCGAGGGAAACCGAGUGUGAAGAGCGCGUUUUUGUCGCUGCGGGUAGACCUGAAACCGUGUGAGCCACCCAUGGCCAAGCUGCAGCGCCCGUAACAGGGCGUGAAGGGCUGAACCGGUACCUGUUGCAAAAGGUUCGGAUGAGCUGUGGGUAGGGGUGAAAUGCCAAACGAACACGGAGAUAGCUGGUUCUCCCCGAAAUGCAUUGAGGUGCAGCCGGCCACAAGCCCGGUUGCUGGAGGUAGAGCGCUAGUCGGACGCGGGGGCUUCACCGCCUACCAACUCCGGUUAACCUGCGAAUGCCAGCAACGGUGGUGGACCGCGUGAGACGGUGGGAGCAAAUUUUCAUCGUCAAAAGGGCAACAGCCCAGACCUGCCGCUAAGGCCCCCAAGUGUGUGUUCAGUGGGCAAGGAGGUCGGACCGCCCAGACAACCAGGAGGUUGGCUUAGAAGCAGCCACCCUUGAAAGAGUGCGUAACAGCUCACUGGUCGAGGGGUCCGGCGCCGACAAUGUACCGGGGCUAAACAUACCGCCGAAGCGCAGGAUUUCAGACUUCGGUCUGGAGUGGUAGGGGAGCGUCGUCAUCAGCAGAGAACCAUCAGCGCAAGCCGGUGGGGAGCGGUGACGAGUGCGAAUGUCGGGAUGAGUAACGAUUCGUGGGGCGAGAACCCCCACCGCCGAAUAUCCAAGGUUUCCGCUGCCCGGUCAAUCCGCAGCGGGUGAGUCGGGCCUAAGCCGAGGCCGCAAGGCGUAGGUGAUGGACAGCAGGUGGAGAAUCCUGCACCGUUGGUUGUCACGUUUGAGUCUCACCGGGAGGCCGGGGGGGACGGGGAGCGACCAGACGAGGGUCGUUCAAGCUGGUAGGCGUAAGCUGAGAAGCGAGCACGAGGCCACCUCGCAAGAGGCAGCCGAGUCCCCGACACCUGCACGGCCACGAAAGGCCUGGGAGAUGAGUGCACCAACGCCCGUACCGGACACCGACACAGGUGGAUAGGUCGAGCAGACCAAGGCGGACGAGCGAACCCUGGUUAAGGAACUCGGCAAAAUGAUCCCGUACCUUCGGAAGAAGGGAUGCUCCUGGGCGUGUAGCCACUAGCUGGCCAAGCGUCAGGGAGCCGAAGAAAGCAGGCCCACGCGACUGGUUACCAGAACCUUAGGUCCCUGCGAAGGCGCAAGCCGACGUAUAGGGGCUGAUGCCUGCCCAGUGCUGGAAGGUUAAGGGGAGGGGUUCACGCCCUGAACCGAAGCCCCAGUCAACGGCGGCCGUAACUAUAACGGUCCUAAGGUAGCGAAAUUCCUUGUCAGGUAAGUUCUGACCCGCACGAAUGGCGUAAUGACUUGGGCACUGUCUCAACUGUAAAUCCGGCGAAGUUGUAGUGCGAGUGAAGAUGCUCGCUACCCGCGAUUGGACGGAAAGACCCCGUAGAGCUUUACUGUAGCUUAGCAUUGAGUUUUGGUAUUGUCUGUACAGGAUAGGUGGGAGACUAGGAAACCAGGGCGUCAGCCUUGGUGGAGUCAACCUUGGGAUACCACCCUGACAGUACUGAAAUUCUAACUGGCGGCCAUGAAUCUGGUCACAGGACAUUGUUAGGUGGGCAGUUUGACUGGGGCGGUCGCCUCCUAAAAUGUACCGGAGGCGCCCAAGGGUUCCCUCAGGCGGGAUGGCAAUCCGCCAGUGAGUGCAAGGGCACAAGGGAGCUUGACUGCAAGGCAAACAGGCCGCGCAGGGACGAAAGUCGGGCCUAGUGAUCCUACGGUGGCGAGUGGAAGCGCCGUAGCGUACCGGAUAAAAGCUACCCCGGGGAUAACAGGCUGAUCCUGCCCAAGAGUUCAGAUCGACGGCAGGGUUUGGCACCUCGAUGUCGGCUCGUCGCAUCCUGGGGCUGGAGCCGGUCCCAAGGGUUGGGCUGUUCGCCCAUGAAAGCGGCACGCGAGCUGGGUUCAGAACGUCGUGAGACAGUUCGGUCUCUAUCCGGUGUGGGCGUUUAGAAGGUUGCGCAGGGCUGGCCCUAGUACGAGAGGACCGGGCUGGACGACCCGCUGGUGGAGCAGUUGUGGGGCGACCUGCAGGCUGCGUAGCUACGGUCGGGAGGGGGAACCGCUGAAUGCAUCUAAGUGGGAAGCCCACUGCAAGACGAGCCUUCUCGCAGUUUUGAGACUGGUAAGGUCCCGGCGAGAAUAGCCGGUAGGACAGGGUCGCGGUGGAGGGCGUGUGAGCGCUAGAGCCGACGACUGCUGAGGACCGAGGGCUUGCCGAG
Molecule: ribosomal RNA, 2948 nt
Filed under: Carposina sasakii
Lineage: Eukaryota; Metazoa; Arthropoda; Insecta; Lepidoptera; Carposinidae
Description: bacterial LSU rRNA
Rfam family: Bacterial large subunit ribosomal RNA
Source: RNAcentral